GUGCUCACUUCAGCAGCACAUAUACUAAAAUUGGAACGAUACAGAUGUGAGCAUGGCCCCCCACAAGGAUGACAUGCAAAUUUGUGAAGUGUUCCAUAUUUUU
Small nuclear RNA from Ailuropoda melanoleuca (giant panda), 103 nucleotides. Lineage: Eukaryota; Metazoa; Chordata; Mammalia; Carnivora; Ursidae. The record is from Ensembl.